Molecule: ribosomal RNA, 438 nt
Filed under: uncultured bacterium
Lineage: Bacteria
Description: partial 16S ribosomal RNA
Rfam family: Bacterial small subunit ribosomal RNA
Source: RNAcentral
CUACGGGUGGCAGCAGUGAGGAAUAUUGCACAAUGGGGGGAACCCUGAUGCAGCAACGCCGCGUGGAGGAUGACGCAUUUCGGUGUGUAAACUCCUUUUAUAUGUCAAGAAAAUGACGGUAGCAUAUGAAUAAGCACCGGCUAACUCCGUGCCAGCAGCCGCGGUAAUACGGAGGGUGCAAGCGUUACUCGGAAUCACUGGGCGUAAAGGACGCGUAGGCGGGUUGGAAAGUCAGGUGUGAAAUCCUACAGCUUAACUGGAGAAAUGCACUUGAAACUUCUAAUCUAGAGUAUGGGAGGGAGAGAUAGAAUUAGUGGUGUAGGGGUAAAAUCCGUAGAUAUCACUAGGAAUACCUAAAGCGAAGGCGAUCUCCUGGAACAUUACUGACGCUAAGGCGUGAAAGCGUGGGGAGCAAACAGGAUUAGAUACCCGGUAGUC